RNAcentral lists this ribosomal RNA (415 nucleotides) under uncultured bacterium. Its description in RNAcentral is "bacterial SSU rRNA". It matches the Rfam family "Bacterial small subunit ribosomal RNA", at positions 340 to 749 of the family's 1533-position model. The record is from RNAcentral.
UACGGAAGGCAGCAGUGGGGAAUAUUGCACAAUGGGCGCAAGCCUGAUGCAGCCAUGCCGCGUGUAUGAAGAAGGCCUUCGGGUUGUAAAGUACUUUCAGUCGUGAGGAAGGUGUUAAGGUUAAUAACCUUAGCAAUUGACGUUAGCGACAGAAGAAGCACCGGCUAACUCCGUGCCAGCAGCCGCGGUAAUACGGAGGGUGCGAGCGUUAAUCGGAAUUACUGGGCGUAAAGGGCACGCAGGCGGUUAAUUAAGUUGGAUGUGAAAUCCCCGGGCUUAACCUGGGAAUGGCAUUCAAGCUGGUUAGCUAGAGUCUUGUAGAGGGGGUAGAAUUCCAUGUGUAGCGGUGAAAUGCGUAGAGAUGUGGAGGAAUACCGGUGGCGAAGGCGGCCCCUGGACAAAGAACUGACGCUCA